Molecule: long non-coding RNA, 2093 nt
Organism: Xenopus laevis (African clawed frog)
Lineage: Eukaryota; Metazoa; Chordata; Amphibia; Anura; Pipidae
Exons: 3
Source: RefSeq, a predicted model, not a curated record
ACCACAUUUUAAGCAUCUGUCCGAGGUGGCAGUUCCGAUGUGGAAUCUUUUUACAGGUGUGAGAUAAGUUUGAUGUAAUAGUUGUAGUGCCAUCUCUUGGUAUGUGCUGGCGGGCAGACUUUUCAUGACGUGUGUGUGGUAGUUUAAGAUGUCUUCAUUUUCUGCUAGUGGGAUUACCGUUUUCCAUUUUGUAAAGUUGAAAGUGGAUUUGUCAAUAUCUAGGGUUGUCCUGAUUUGUCUGUAGAUUUGGGAUGUUGAUUUAACUGCGUCUUGUCUUAGCCAUAGGGAGUCUAGGGGGUUAUUUUUGUCUUUUUCAGUGAGUUUGUUCAGGUGCUGAGUAGCGAAGUGGGUUAUUUGUAGCAAUGCGAAUUGAUGGGGUUGUAGGAAUGGGUAUUUUCGUAUUAGGUCAGAGGUAGUUAGUAGGGUGAAUUUGUCCGUGACCAUAUCUUUUAUGUUUUGUAGGCCAUGCGUUUGCCAUAUGUUAAAGACAGUAUUGGAGCGACCAGGAGUAAAGUUUUUAUUCCUCAUCCAGGUCAAGUGUAUGGAGUUGAAUUGAGAGAUGUUGAUUUUUUUCCGAAUCUUGUGUCAGGUAUUGUAUGUAUGGAUAAAUAGUGGAUUAUCUUUCAUGUUUUUUGGGAUAUCUUUUAGAGGCGUAUGUAAUAGACAGUUAAGUGAUAUUCCUUCUGAGAGUGUGUCAUCUAUGGAAAUAGUGGUGAAAACGUUUCUACGGUGAAGCCAGUCACCUGCAAAUCGGAGAAGGGCAGCUUCGUUAUAUUCUAUUACGUUUGGAAAAUUAAGUCCUCCUUCAUGUUUUUGUAGUUGAAGUUUAAAAAGAUUGAUUCUGGGUCGUUUUUUAUUCCAUAUGAAUGUUCUAAUUAUGUGUUGUAAUCUUCUGAUAUCUGUGGAUAGUAUCCUAUAUGGUAGCAGUUGUAUUUUGUAGAGAAGUUUGGGAAAUGCAAUCAUCUUAAUUAAGUGGAGUCUGCCCGCGAAUGACAAGUUUGUGUUAAUCCAUUUGCGGGUCUCUUGUUCUAUCUGGUCUAUUGUAUGCCUAAUGUUUAGGUUGUAGAAGUCUUGAUGACGUUGUGGUAAUUGGAUCCCGAGAAAUUUAAUGUGUGUUUUCGCUUUUUUAAAUGGGAAGGAGGUGUUCCAGUCUGCAGGGGAGGUAUGUUGUAGACGUAGUGCUUCCGAUUUAUCUAAGUUGAUUUUAAAUCCUGCUAUAGUGCCAAAUGUUUCUAUCUUUUUUAGAAUAUAGGGUAGUUCGGUUUGCGGUUUGUGUAUAAAUAGAAGGAUGUCGUCUGCAUAUGCUAUUAGUUUGAGUCUUUGUGUGCCUAAUGGUAUACCUUUGAAUAUAUCGCUAUUUAAUAGAUGUUUUAGGAGGGGGUCUAGCGCAAUGUUGAAAAGCAAUGGUGAAAGAGGGCAUCCCUGUCUGGUCCCUCUUUGGAUCAGAAAUCUAGUUGAGUUAAGGCCAUUUGCUGUGAUAUGUGUGUAUGAUUGGGAAUAUAGGGUCUUAAAGAGGUUUAGCAUUUGUAUGCCAAAAUGUUGGAACUUAAGAAGUCUUUUGAUAUGUGUGUGAGUUAUCCUGUCAAAUGCUUUGUCUGCAUCUAAAUUAAUUAAUAUACCGUGUUUUCUUUUUUCCAGGGUACAUUGAUAUAUUGCCGCUAUUACCUUACGUAUGGCUUGGACCGAGGUUCGUUGUUUAAGGAAUCCUACUUGUUGCGCGGUGCGUCGAGUAUUUCUCUGUCCUGAACUGAGAGCUUGGAUAAAUGGGCAUCGCGUAUGAAGAGGAGACCCUCAUCUGGAUGAUCUUGGUUUUCCUCAUAAAGUGUUUUAAAAUGUGUUUCCAUUGUCUUCACUAUUUGUUUUGUGUCCAGGGCCCAUCCCUCCGCUGUUUUCAGUUUUUUUUAUAAAACUGUGUUUGGUUUGAAGUUUUGAUAUUUUAGCUAAUAGUUUCCCAGGUUUGUUUCCCCAUCUAUAAUAUUUGUUCUUCAUAUGAGAUAUUUUAUAUUGUGCAUUAUCAUGUAAUAAAGUGUUGAACAAAUUCUUGGUGUCAGUGUAUUUUUUCUUAUCUGCUUCCGAGUUUGUGAGUUUGAAUG